ACUGCUCAGUAACACGUAGUCAACAUGCCCAGGGGACGUGGAUAACCUCGGGAAACUGAGGAUAAACCGCGAUAGGCCAAGAUUUCUGGAAUGAAUCAUGGUUUAAAUCUAUAUGGCCCCUGGAUUGGACUGCGGCCGAUCAGGCUGUUGGUGAGGUAAUGGCCCACCAAACCUGUAACCGGUACGGGCUCUGAGAGGAGGAGCCCGGAGAUGGGCACUUAGACAAGGGCCCAGGCCCUAUGGGGCGCAGCAGGCGCGAAACCUCUGCAAUAAGCGAAAGCUUGACAGGGUUACUCUGAGUGAUUUCCGCUAAGGAAGUCUUUUGGCACCUCUAAAAAUGGUGCAGAAUAAGGGGUGGGCAAGUCUGGUGUCAGCCGCCGCGGUAAUACCAGCACCCCGAGUGGUCGGGACGAUUAUUGGGCCUAAAGCAUCCGUAGCCGGUCCUGCAAGUCCUCCGUUAAAUCCACCCGCUCAACGUUGGGCCGCGGGGGAUACUACAGGGCUAGGAGGCGGGAGAGGCAAGCGGUACUCGAUGGGUAGGGGUAAAAUCCACUGAUCCAUUGAAGACCACCAGUGGCGAAGGCGGCUUGCCAGAACGCGCUCGACGGUGAGGGAUGAAAGCUGGGGGAGCAAACCGGAUUAGAUACCCGGGUAGUCCCAGCUGUAAACGAUGCAGACUCGGUGAUGGGCUGGCUUCGUGCCAACCCGGUGCCGCAGGGAAGCCGUUAAGUCUGCCGCCUGGGGAGUACGGUCGCAAGACUGAAACUUAAAGGAAUUGGCGGGGGAGCA
This 789-nucleotide ribosomal RNA is filed under the name uncultured archaeon. RNAcentral's name for it is "bacterial SSU rRNA". It matches the Rfam family "Archaeal small subunit ribosomal RNA", at positions 85 to 878 of the family's 1478-position model. The record is from RNAcentral.